AGUGAACGCUGGCGGUAGGCCUAACACAUGCAAGUCGAACGGCAGCACAGUAAGAGCUUGCUCUUACGGGUGGCGAGUGGCGGACGGGUGAGGAAUACAUCGGAAUCUACUUUUUCGUGGGGGAUAACGUAGGGGAACUUACGCUAAUACCGCAUACGACCUACGGGUGAAAGCAGGGGAUCUUCGGACCUUGCGCGAUUGAAUGAGCCGAUGUCGGAUUAGCUAGUUGGCGGGGUAAAGGCCCACCAAGGCGACGAUCCGUAGCUGGUCUGAGAGGAUGGUCAGCCACACUGGAACGGAGACACGGUCCAGACUCCUACGGGAGGCAGCAGUGGGGAAUAUUGGACAAUGGGCGCAAGCCUGAUCCAGCCAUACCGCGUGGGUGGAGAAGGCCUUCGGGUUGUAAAGCCCUUUUGUUGGGAAAGAAAAGCAGCAGGUUAAUACCCCGCUGUUCUGACGGUACCCAAAGAAUAAGCACCGGCUAAGUUCGUG
This 492-nucleotide ribosomal RNA is filed under the name uncultured bacterium. RNAcentral describes it as "partial 16S ribosomal RNA". It matches the Rfam family "Bacterial small subunit ribosomal RNA", at positions 29 to 507 of the family's 1533-position model. The record is from RNAcentral.